RNAcentral lists this ribosomal RNA (557 nucleotides) under uncultured Sphingomonas sp. RNAcentral describes it as "bacterial SSU rRNA". It matches the Rfam family "Bacterial small subunit ribosomal RNA", at positions 102 to 694 of the family's 1533-position model. The record is from RNAcentral. Lineage: Bacteria; Pseudomonadati; Pseudomonadota; Alphaproteobacteria; Sphingomonadales; Sphingomonadaceae.
ACGGGUGCGUAACGCGUGGGAAUCUGCCCUUAGGUUCGGAAUAACAGCUGGAAACGGCUGCUAAUACCGGAUGAUAUCGCGAGAUCAAAGAUUUAUCGCCUGAGGAUGAGCCCGCGUUGGAUUAGGUAGUUGGUGGGGUAAAGGCCUACCAAGCCGACGAUCCAUAGCUGGUCUGAGAGGAUGAUCAGCCACACUGGGACUGAGACACGGCCCAGACUCCUACGGGAGGCAGCAGUGGGGAAUAUUGGACAAUGGGCGCAAGCCUGAUCCAGCAAUGCCGCGUGAGUGAUGAAGGCCCUAGGGUUGUAAAGCUCUUUUACCCGGGAAGAUAAUGACUGUACCGGGAGAAUAAGCCCCGGCUACCUCCGUGCCAGCAGCCGCGGUAAUACGGAGGGGGCUAGCGUUGUUCGGAAUUACUGGGCGUAAAGCGCACGUAGGCGGCUUUGUAAGUCAGAGGUGAAAGCCUGGAGCUCAACUCCAGAACUGCCUUUGAGACUGCAUCGCUUGAAUCCAGGAGAGGUCAGUGGAAUUCCGAGUGUAGAGGUGAAAUUCGUAGA